RNAcentral lists this long non-coding RNA (258 nucleotides) under Marmota monax (woodchuck). The record is from RNAcentral. Lineage: Eukaryota; Metazoa; Chordata; Mammalia; Rodentia; Sciuridae.
AGAUCCCAAUUACCCAUUCCUCUAUUCAGACCAAGGUCAGAUGACCUCCUCCUCCCCAGACCUCAGCCAGACAACCCCUUCCCCAGACCUCAGCCAGACAACCCCUUCCCCAGACCUCAGCAAGACAACCCCUUUCCCAGACCUCAGCCAAACAGCUGUACCUUCAGUCCUUUAUCAGACGCCCCCUUCCCCAGACCUCAGCCAGACAACACCCUCCCUAGACCUAGGCCAGAGGACCCUCUCUAAAGAACUUGGUCA